Dipodomys ordii (Ord's kangaroo rat) is the source of this 172-nucleotide unclassified non-coding RNA. NCBI's taxonomy places the organism in Eukaryota, Metazoa, Chordata, Mammalia, Rodentia, Heteromyidae. The record is from Ensembl.
GGAUAGUAAACAUAGGAGACAGGUUUCCAGCUUCUGAACGAUCUCAUUAUUGGAAUGAUCACUGCUCAGCUCUUUGUAUCCACUCAUUCCAGAGAUCCUGGCUUUCUGGCUUUUCACGUUCUAGGGUGGGGUAGCAGCUUAUCAUUCCAUUGUCUUUUCUGCUUCAGUCAAC